AUUGAACGCUGGCGGCAGGCCUAACACAUGCAAGUCGAGCGAGAAAGGUCUUCGGACUGAGUACAGCGGCGGACGGGUGAGUAAUGCGCAGGAAUCUACCUGGUAGUGGGGGAUAACUCGGGGAAACUCGAACUAAUACCGCAUACGCCUACGGGGAAAGCGGGGACCGUUCGGGCCUCGCGCUAUCAGAUGAGCCUGCGUAGGAUUAGCUUGUUGGUGAGGUAAAGGCUCACCAAGGCGACGAUCCUUAGCUGGUCUGAGAGGAUGAUCAGCCACACUGGAACUGAGACACGGUCCAGACUCCUACGGGAGGCAGCAGUGGGGAAUAUUGCGCAAUGGGCGAAAGCCUGACGCAGCCAUGCCGCGUGUGUGAAGAAGGCCCUUGGGUUGUAAAGCACUUUCAAUUGGGAAGAAAGGUUGCGUGUUAAUAGCACGUAGCUGUGACGUUACCUUUAGAAGAAGCACCGGCUAACUCCGUGCCAGCAGCCGACGG
Molecule: ribosomal RNA, 493 nt
Filed under: uncultured bacterium
Lineage: Bacteria
Description: bacterial SSU rRNA
Rfam family: Bacterial small subunit ribosomal RNA
Source: RNAcentral